CACACGGAUAACAUACCGAAAGGUAUACUAAUACGGGAUAACAUACGAAAGUCGCAUGGCUUUUGUAUCAAAGCUCCGGCGGUACAGGAUGGACCCGCGUCUGAUUAGCUAGUUGGUAAGGUAAUGGCUUACCAAGGCAACGAUCAGUAGCCGACCUGAGAGGGUGAUCGGCCACACUGGAACUGAGACACGGUCCAGACUCCUACGGGAGGCAGCAGUGGGGAAUAUUGCACAAUGGGCGAAAGCCUGAUGCAGCAACGCCGCGUGAGCGAUGAAGGCCUUCGGGUCGUAAAGCUCUGUCCUCAAGGAAGAUAAUGACGGUACUUGAGGAGGAAGCCCCGGCUAACUACGUGCCAGCAGCCGCGGUAAUACGUAGGGGGCUAGCGUUAUCCGGAAUUACUGGGCGUAAAGGGUGCGUAGGUGGUUUUUUAAGUCAGAAGUGAAAGGCUACGGCUCAACCGUAGUAAGCUUUUGAAACUAGAGAACUUGAGUGCAGGAGAGGAGAGUAGAAUUCCUAGUGUAGCGGUGAAAU
RNAcentral lists this ribosomal RNA (532 nucleotides) under Paraclostridium bifermentans. Its description in RNAcentral is "bacterial SSU rRNA". It matches the Rfam family "Bacterial small subunit ribosomal RNA", at positions 136 to 687 of the family's 1533-position model. The record is from RNAcentral. Lineage: Bacteria; Bacillati; Bacillota; Clostridia; Peptostreptococcales; Peptostreptococcaceae.